UGUAAUGAUGAUUCAUUUGACUAGAGUCUCUGAAAUACCUAUGAAGUUUUUUUUAUAGUUCACUGAACA
Molecule: small nucleolar RNA, 69 nt
Organism: Xyrauchen texanus (razorback sucker)
Lineage: Eukaryota; Metazoa; Chordata; Actinopteri; Cypriniformes; Catostomidae
Product: small nucleolar RNA SNORD52
Exons: 1
Source: RefSeq, a predicted model, not a curated record